UUCUUUAUUAUCUGGGUGCAUUAUGUACUAUGCAUGUUACUAACUGUGAGUAUUGUUGCCAGUCAAUAUGCAUUCGUCUACUUUGGAUCUUUUUUUUCUUACUUUAUACUUGCUUUGCUAUUUGUCGUGUAUGCACAUGAUUUGGAUUGAUCUACUUAGAAGCAUGAGUUUAUGAAAAUUGAUAUCUACUAGGAUUGCUCUGCUCCUGUUGACAUGCGAUGCCAAUUGUGACAUGACAGAUUUGUCUGAAGUGGAACGGAUGGUCGUCACCUUUGACUAAGCUGCUGAGCCCAAGAACUUUGGCAGACUGGUGGCCUAGCUGUUCAACUUCUCAACACGGUUCAAUUUUGUCUUUGGUCAUCCUUGCAUACACUCGGCAGAGAAGUAUCUAUACUGAAUUUCUGCUCUAGGUAAUUUAUACUCAUAUAAUUUAUCUCUAAUACCCAGUCCGAAUCAUUAGUGCUAGAUCGACAAUUUUUAAGCCCUAUUUGUGGAAGUGCAUUGCAUGUGUAACUAAACUGGGCGCGACCAAUCUUGAGGUUUACCAUGAAUUUUUAUAAAAUGGUCCGUAAGCAAGGCAUGGGGCAAUCACGAAUAACUCAUAUAUGAGGGUAUGUGCCCCUUGUGCUAUAUUUAUAGCAGGUUGUACUCACUACUCAGCAUAAAUUGUGAGGUUUGAUCUGGUAGAGAAGGACCGAGAUAGUCUGGUCUUACCUACAUAUAGGAGUCGUUAUUGAGGACUGAGCAUCGAGCGUGAUUCCGUUUCCAGUCCAUGUAGAUUAGCCAUUUGACGACUUAGCUAGAAACUUUAUAGGUUUUUAGUAUAUAUAUCUUCAGUUAUGUUGUCAUGCUGUGACACGAAUUAAUAGAAAAUAACCAUGUAGUAUCUUUUUUUUAUACGAGUAAAGUGUGUACAAUAAAUUUGCAAAAAUGGUCCAUCAACUAGCUGAAUAAAGAAACACUCUAUGGGAAAGGUGAACAAGCACACUAAAGCACACAAGUCGUAGUAAUUCCAAAGUAUUUUUAUAACUGCGUUUUAGUAGACUAUGUCAUGAUUUGCUUUUUCUGAACCUUGAUAACAUUAUCCUGGAUUUGAGACAACAGUCUACAAAUUUUUCCCUUUAUUUUUUAUCAUUGUGAAGACCAAAUCUACAAAAUCAACCAGUUGUGAAUUCAUCAAGUACGAGACCUCUGUCUAUAUCAUUUCUGCAGGUCGAACAUGAAAGGAUGCCGGCUGAUUGCUUUUCCAAAACUGAUGUUUCAUGUCUUGAAACUUUCCCCAUUUUUGUUUUCAGAGGACAAAUGAUAUCUCGGAUUAGUUAGCUUCUUUUUACAGUUCCUAUCCAUUGAACUAUAUGCAAUUUUCAGCUAGACCUCUUUUUUACAGUUCCUAUCCAUUGAACUAUAUGCAAUUUUCAGCUAGACCUCUUUUUUACAGUUCCUAUCCAUUGAACUAUAUGCAGUGUCAACGAACAGCGUGAGAUGAGAUAGCUGCAACGGUGGGGCCAAACAAUCCUAUGGCAGCAGCAAUAGUCAGCCCACAGUAAAUCUCUGUUAAGUGCUCCUUUCUCUUUACCUUUUUACUCCCGUGUCUCUGAUUUUGAUUUCAUAAUCUAUGUUUUUAGCUAGGCACCAUGUUUGCGGAUUUCAUAAAGAAGGGUAGAUGAAGAAGCUAUCAGAAGAUUUUGUUGAAUGAAACUUGCAUUCUGAUGUUACGAGUGUAGAAAUAUAUUCUGCAUUUUUAGGAAAUUAGAUAAUAGGACCGGCUAAGGCUAGCCAACUUGCCUCCAGAGGGCUCCCUCGCGCGCAGCCCUUUGUGGCCGUCUGAUCUGGCCUUCGGCGCGUCUGGAUCGUUGGAUAUUCCCCUUACGGUCAAAUCUUUUUCACCUCACGGGUGUUUUUCGUGUCCAAUGACGGGUGGGAUCGCCUCGAGCUCGCAUUGGCCGGGUCACUCUCGCGCAUGUGCGGGACGUUUUUGCCCAAUCCGCUGCUCACGCACCGCAUUGACCUCCUUGCCCAAUCCCCUCGUGCCGCACCAGCUGAAACUUAGCCCCUUUCCCCGAUCCCCACAGCAGCCGCACCCUCUCCUCGCUUGCAGCCGCCUCCUCUCCUUUCCCCCACGCCGCCGGCCUUGUCUUUUCAUUUCUUAUGUGAAAUAAAUCAUCAGUGGCAUUCUUGGUUUCCCAUAUUGUUUUUGGUUAUAGAUUUAAAGUGACCUUUUCUGUUUUUUGCAAACCAGAGGGGUUGUUCCAAUUAUAAAUGUAUUGCAACUUCUUUUGGCUGCUAUAAAAUGCUUGGUUGCUCAAUAUAGUAGAUGCAUGUGAGACUACACAUUGGUGCAAUAUUAGUUCUUAACUUCAUGAGCAAUGAAUAUAACAUUUUACCGGAGAUCAUACCCACUGACGACACUGUAUGAUACAACAUUGAUUACAAUGGCGUUUGUAGCGCCAUCAUAGGACAGUUUCUCCCGACCUUUAACCUGUGUGUAGAAUGUGGAAACAAUUGAGGAUAGGGUGGCUAUCCCUAUAUGACAGGUCUGACGGUGCAUCUGAAAUUGCCAUGUAGUUGCAUAGCUGUCAAAGAGUAAGCAUGUGAAAGUUGGGUUACCUCUAUAUUUGUUAGAGUUGGAACUUGGUACAGUUUUGCAAAAUAAGAUGAUAGCUCACAUUUUCUGGAUGACCCAAUGCUUCUUUGGUGAAAUUUGAUCAGCCUUACAUAUACAUUUGAAAUGUUAUGCUGUAUACAGUUCAUCAGGUACUGGAAUUUGCCGGACAUUAAUGUUUCCGUUUUUUAUCUGUUUCUUAUUUUCCGAGUCACAUCUCUACAAUGUUUCCAAUGAGGCAAGGACACCUGUUUUCCUCCUUGCAUGCCAAUUAUUUGAGAGACAAAUAAACAUUGUUGUUGGCCUAUGAAUUAUCACAUCAUUCCCCUGAUUCUUUUUAGAUCAUUUUGUUUUAGAGUUUUUGUUUCUUGAAACCUCAAAAUAGUGACUGGCAUCUUGUCCAUGUUGCAUCAUUUUAUACUGACAAUCAGGAGAUAUAGUUGAUCCUUCAUUUCUCUUGGAACCUUAUCCAAACAUUAGAGAAUGAAACUAAAGCUACGUACAGAGAGAAUGUGUAGACUUCUUGCUGGGCAUGAACUCCGGUUCGCCUAUUACGAGUGAGACCACUUCACUUUGCUUCCAAUAUUGUAGAUGGCGGAAGUGGUGCUCUUACAUACAACCGUUAGAGAAGUAUAUGUAGCCAUUUCCUCUGUAGAAAGGAAUGCUAUUUUAGGUGGUUGUGAGUUUUGAACCUUUCAUUGCCGAAGAGAACCGAUGAUCUUCCUUCACAAGUUUAUUUUUACCUAUGUAUUAUGGUCAUGCUCCCAUUGUUUGGGUGAUUUUACCUAGGCUAUGCACGUACAUAUAAUAUUGCCAUGUUCCCCUUAUUCAUGCAUCACCAACAUUGCUGCCAAAUUGAUGUUCUGUUUCUCUAUGCACUGGUGUUAUAGACUGCCAUUUGUUUUGUCGAACAAUUUGUGAAACUGAUUUUCCAUUGCUCUAUGUACUGGUUUUACAGAUUGCUAUUUGUUUUAUCUAGCUUAGUAAUUCAUUUGGUUUACAUCCUCAUGAUAUAGAUAUACACAUGCCCCUUUCCUAUUUUAGCUAUCAUUUGCCAACCUCUUCAUUAUCUGACUAUGCACAUUUGUUCCUAUAUACAAAUGUGAUUGACAUUAUGGUGUUUACAAAACGACAUGUCACCUCAAUGCCAUUUGUGAAGAACAAGUAUGUGGCUCGGGAGGGCCUGGGUUGACGGAUGCUGUCAUCAGGAGUGGCCACAUUGUUGGGUCCUCAACAAUUUUGACUGAAGACUCCUGGACUUUACCAUUGCGAAAUCAUGUGAGCAGAGGUGUUCCAGGAAUCUUUGGGAAGACGUGUGUAUAUAUGCCAUGUGUCCCACUAUCAUUUUUUGUCUUUGUGAGUUGCUGAAAAGAUCUUAGUCAUUUCAACUCAGAUGAAGUUGUUAGGAUGAUUAGGUCGCAGCUUAUGCAAAAUGUACUGUAAUAGAUUCAGAUAAAUUCUGGAGGGGUGAAACCCUUUGAAGUCAUAGCUAACAUGGCUCUAUGUUACUCCAAUAAGGUAACAAACUAUGCAUGUUAAAUAUAUGUUUUCAAAGAUAAAUUGUCCUUCAUUUUUCG
RNAcentral lists this long non-coding RNA (4179 nucleotides) under Triticum aestivum (bread wheat). Its description in RNAcentral is "long non-coding RNA (TAES_LNC019360)". The record is from RNAcentral. Lineage: Eukaryota; Viridiplantae; Streptophyta; Magnoliopsida; Poales; Poaceae.